GAGUUUGAUCCUGGCUCAGGAUGAACGCUGGCGGUAUGCUUUACACAUGCAAGUCGUACGAAAGUUUUAUUUUUAACUUUAAGUGGCGGACGGGUGAGUAACACGUGAGAAUUUACCUUUAGGAGGGGGAUAACAACUGGAAACAGUUGCUAAUACCACAUAUGCUAUAAAGUGAAAAAAAAAUUGCCUGAAGAGAAGCUCGCGGCUGAUUAACUUGUUGGUAAGGUAAUGGCUUACCAAGGUGACGAUCAGUAUCUGGUUUUAGAGGAUGAUCAGACACACUGGAACUGAGACACGGUCCAGACUCCUACGGGAGGCAGCAGUGGGGAAUUUUCCGCAAUGGGCGAAAGCCUGACGGAGCAAUACCGCGUGAGGGAAGACGGCUUAUGGGUUGUAAACCUCUUUUUUCAGGGAGGAAAUAAAUGACGUGUACCUGAAGAAUAAGCAUCGGCUAACUCCGUGCCAGCAGCCGCGGUAAUACGGGGGAUGCAAGUGUUAUCCGGAAUUAUUGGGCGUAAAGAGUCUGUAGGUGGUUAAAUAAGUCAAUUGUUAAAUAUUAAAGCUUAACUUAAAAACUGCAAUCGAAACUAUUUAACUAGAGUAUAGUAGAGGUAAAGGGAAUUUCCAGUGUAGCGGUGAAAUGCGUAGAUAUUGGAAGGAACACCAAUGGCGAAAGCACUUCACUGGACUAUUACUGACACUCAGAGACGAAAGCUAGGGUAGCAAAUGGGAUUAGAUACCCCAGUAGUCCUAGCUGUAAACGAUGGAUACUAGAUGUUGAUCAGUUCGACCUGCGCAGUAUCAAAGCUAACGCGUUAAGUAUCCCGCCUGGGGAGUAUAUUCGCAAGAACGAAACUCAAAGGAAUUGACGGGGGCCCGUACAAGCGGUGGAGCAUGUGGUUUAAUUCGAUGCUACGCGAAGAACCUUACCAGGAUUUGACAUGAUACAAAUUUUUGUGAAAGCAAAAAGUGCCUUUUGGAAUGUAUACACAGGUGGUGCAUGGCUGUCGUCAGCUCGUGUCGUGAGAUGUUGGGUUAAGUCCCGCAACGAGCGCAACCCUUAUUUUUAGUUGCCAUUUGGAACUCUAAAAAGACUGCUGGUUAUAAACCGGAGGAAGAUGAGGAUGACGUCAAGUCAGUAUGCCCCUUAUAUCCUGGGCUACACACGUGCUACGUUGGAUGAGACAAUAAGUUGCAAUUCUGUGAGGAGGAGCUAAUCUCUAAACUCAUUCUAAGCUCGGAUUAUAGGCUGCAACUCGCCUAUAUGAAGUUGGAAUCGCUAGUAAUCGCUGGUCAGCUAUACAGCGGUGAAUACGUUCUCGGGCCUUGUACUCACCGCCCGUC
RNAcentral lists this ribosomal RNA (1344 nucleotides) under uncultured marine eukaryote. Its description in RNAcentral is "bacterial SSU rRNA". It matches the Rfam family "Bacterial small subunit ribosomal RNA". The record is from RNAcentral.